UAAGGAAUAUUGGUCAAUGGACGCAAGUCUGAACCAGCCAUGCCGCGUGAAGGAUGAAGGUCCUCUGGAUUGUAAACUUCUUUUAUAUGGGACGAAACCCUCGAUUUCCAUCGGGAUUGACGGUACCAUAGGAAUAAGCACCGGCUAACUCCGUGCCAGCAGCCGCGGUAAUACGGAGGGUGCAAGCGUUAUCCGGAUUCACUGGGUUUAAAGGGUGCGUAGGAGGGCAGGUAAGUCAGUGGUGAAAUCCCCGAGCUUAACUUGGGAACUGCCGUUGAUACUAUCUGUCUUGAAUACCGUGGAGGUGAGCGGAAUAUGUCAUGUAGCGGUGAAAUGCUUAGAUAUGACAUAGAACACCAAUUGCGAAGGCAGCUCACUACGCGAAUAUUGACACUGAGGCACGAAAGCGUGGGGAUCAAAC
This 421-nucleotide ribosomal RNA is filed under the name uncultured bacterium. RNAcentral describes it as "bacterial SSU rRNA". It matches the Rfam family "Bacterial small subunit ribosomal RNA", at positions 355 to 773 of the family's 1533-position model. The record is from RNAcentral.